UUCAUGCCGCCUAUCUGAUUUCAUACCCUUCCUUUUCUUCUUGAAUAAUCUACCUCCCUCCCCCCCCCCCCCAACUUCUAUGGUCUCUCCAGGAAAGAAUACAACUCGAGAAAUCACGCUUACACAGGCGGGCCAGGGUGAAUCCAUUGGCAGGUUCUUAAAAGGGUGAGGAGGUUCUAGAAGAUGCAUAUGCUUCUAGUGCAAGCAAGCAACUUCCCGAUGUUUCUUUGGCAAAGAGAAGCAAGCGAUCAAAGCGAAAGGGCGCUGUAUAACAAGGAAUGUAUACUGAUAUUGUUUUAAUUUGAGACGUGCUGGUCACAUGGGGAGAGGCAAGACAAUACAAUAGCAAGUCGAAAGGAGAGGUACUAUUGGCCACAACUAAAGAGAGAUGCUGGCAAUUUCGUGAAAAGGUGUUGCAGUUGUCAAACGUCAGAAGAAAAGUAUUAUCGAUGUCCUAUUGCCCUUGUAUAGAGAAGUUGAGUAAAUUGCAUUUUGAGCAUUCCUUGUCAUCACUGGAUAAUGAGGAAACCUUGGUGAGACUGUGACGAGCCUAUCGACCUAUACAGGUUACAGGGAGGAAGAAGUAACCCGAGAUACCUGUAGUUAUCCUGCCACAUCAACUGAUUGAAUACCUUCUGAUAUUGAAUCAAUAGUUGAGAUUGGACAUGAUUAAUAUAUGUCAUUAGUUUGUUUCAUUAUAAGCACUCACUGGGUUGAUCCAGGGUCUAACUUGAAGAAGAUCAGUCGGUUUUUUAUUAUUGUAUUGUAAAUUUCUGUAGUGCUCCAUGGAUGGGAAUUUUGGCAUAUUAGAUGAUUGAGGUGCAUGUAGUUCAUCAUCAAUUUGUGUUUGAAA
Tripterygium wilfordii is the source of this 853-nucleotide long non-coding RNA. RefSeq lists it as uncharacterized. NCBI's taxonomy places the organism in Eukaryota, Viridiplantae, Streptophyta, Magnoliopsida, Celastrales, Celastraceae. The transcript has 4 exons. The record is from RefSeq and is a predicted model, not a curated record.